This 484-nucleotide ribosomal RNA is filed under the name uncultured bacterium. RNAcentral describes it as "partial 16S ribosomal RNA". It matches the Rfam family "Bacterial small subunit ribosomal RNA", at positions 29 to 507 of the family's 1533-position model. The record is from RNAcentral.
AGUGAACGCUGGCGGUAUGCUUUACACAUGCAAGUCGAGCGGCAGCACGGGGGCAACCCUGGUGGAGAGGGGCGGACGGGUGAGUAAUAGAGCGGAACAUGCCCAGUCGUGGGGGAUAACACGUCGAAAGAGGGGAUAAUACCGCAUACGUCCUGAGGGAGAAAGCGGGGGAUCGCAAGACCUUGGGCGAUUGCACUGGUCGAUGUCAGAUUAGCUAGUUGGUGGGGUAAAGGCCUACCAAGGCAACGAUCCGUAGCUGGUCUGAGAGGAUGAUCAGCCACACUGGGACUGAGACACGGCCCAGACUCCUACGGGAGGCAGCAGUGGGGAAUUUUGGACAAUGGGGGCAAGCCUGAUCCAGCCAUUCCGCGUGAGUGAAGAAGGCCUUCGGGUUGUAAAGCUCUUUUGUCAGGAACGAAACGGCGCGCUCUAAUAUAGCGUGCUAAUGACGGUACCCGAAGAAGAAGCACCGGCUAACUACGUG